AUUUCAUCCCUUCCCCAUUUUCUUGGGUUUAAGUUUUCUCAUUACACGCAUACGAAAACUCUUGUUCCCCCCUCUCUCUAUCUUCUCUGCGG
Molecule: non-coding RNA, 92 nt
Filed under: Paramoeba aestuarina
Lineage: Eukaryota; Discosea; Flabellinia; Dactylopodida; Paramoebidae
Source: RNAcentral